CCCUUAGAUGUUCUGGGCCGCACGCGUGCUACACUGAGUGGAUCAGCGGGUCAGGUUGCGCGAAAGCGUUUCCUAAUCUUUAAAUCCGCUCGUGAUGGGGAUUGACGGUUGCAAUUUUCUGUCAUGAACGAGGAAUACCUUGUAAGCGCGGGUCAUCAUCCCGCGCUGAAUACGUCCCUGCCCUUUGUACACACCGCCCGUCGCUCCUACCGAUUGAGUGGCCCGGUGAGGCUUUGGGAUCUGAGCGGAAAGAGCGUUUCGCUGUUUCUGCUCGGAAAACUCAGUCGAACCUUAUCAUUUAGAGGAAGGAGAAGUCGUAACA
This 322-nucleotide ribosomal RNA is filed under the name uncultured eukaryote. Its description in RNAcentral is "partial 18S ribosomal RNA". It matches the Rfam family "Eukaryotic small subunit ribosomal RNA", at positions 1470 to 1796 of the family's 1831-position model. The record is from RNAcentral.